UACGAAGGGGGCUAGCGUUGUUCGGAAUCACUGGGCGUAAAGCGCACGCAGGCGGGUCGUUAAGUCAGGGGUGAAAUCCCGAGGCUCAACCUCGGAACUGCCUUUGAUACUGGCGACCUUUGAGUCCGGGAGAGGUGAGUGGAACUCCGAGUGUAGAGGUGAAAUUCGUAGAUAUUCGCAAGAACACCAGUGGCGAAGGCGGCUCACUGGCCCGAUACUGACGCUGAGGCACGAAAGCGUGGGGAGCAAACAGG
This 254-nucleotide ribosomal RNA is filed under the name uncultured bacterium. RNAcentral describes it as "partial 16S ribosomal RNA". It matches the Rfam family "Bacterial small subunit ribosomal RNA", at positions 524 to 776 of the family's 1533-position model. The record is from RNAcentral.